GGUGUGUAUGUGUGUGUAUAUAUAUAUAUAUGCAUGUGUGUAUGUGUACAUAUGUUUAUGCAUGCAUGUGUGAGUGAGGCAGUGUUGUGAUAAAAUGUUUCAACUAUGUACCCUUUAGAUAUAAGCACUUGUGCCUGAAAAAAAUUCCUAGCAAAUCUAACUUCCGGAAACCUCAAAACAAGAAUUUCCAUCAAUAUUAAUAGCAACAUAUACAGAAAUAUUGACAAUUUUUGGUGACCAAAAGAAAAUUGAAACAAACCUGCUAUUUGUUGCAUAUAUAUAUAUAUAACCACACACACACACACAACACACAUCUUAAACACCAAGACAAAUCAUUCAUAUGAAGACAUAUGCACAUACACUACACAAAGUGAAAACAAAAGUGCAUGUAGACAGGAAAAGUAUUUAACACACAUACAACAACACAUACAAAGAAACGCUCACAAGCAAUUGAUAUUGGAAAAAGGCUUACACGUCCAAAGGCACACACAUAAACGUACAC
Long non-coding RNA from Octopus sinensis (East Asian common octopus), 502 nucleotides. RefSeq lists it as uncharacterized. The transcript is spliced from 2 exons. Lineage: Eukaryota; Metazoa; Mollusca; Cephalopoda; Octopoda; Octopodidae. The record is from RefSeq and is a predicted model, not a curated record.